GACGAACGCUGGCGGCGUGCCUAAUACAUGCAAGUCGAGCGGACGGAUGGGAGCUUGCUCCCAGACCGUCAGCGGCGGACGGGUGAGUAACACGUGGGCAACCUGCCUGUAAGACUGGGAUAACUCCGGGAAACCGGGGCUAAUACCGGAUAACUCUUUCCCUCACAUGAGGGAAAGCUGAAAGAUGGCAUCUCGCUAUCACUUACAGAUGGGCCCGCGGCGCAUUAGCUAGUUGGUGAGGUAACGGCUCACCAAGGCGACGAUGCGUAGCCGACCUGAGAGGGUGAUCGGCCACACUGGGACUGAGACACGGCCCAGACUCCUACGGGAGGCAGCAGUAGGGAAUCUUCCGCAAUGGACGAAAGUCUGACGGAGCAACGCCGCGUGAGUGAUGAAGGUUUUCGGAUCGUAAAACUCUGUUGUCAGGGAAGAACAAGUACCGGAGUAACUGCCGGUACCUUGACGGUACCUGACCAGAAAGCCACGGCUAACUACGUG
This 498-nucleotide ribosomal RNA is filed under the name uncultured bacterium. RNAcentral's name for it is "partial 16S ribosomal RNA". It matches the Rfam family "Bacterial small subunit ribosomal RNA", at positions 28 to 507 of the family's 1533-position model. The record is from RNAcentral.